CCCCUACGGGAGGCAGCAGUGGGGAAUCUUGCGCAAUGGACGAAAGUCUGACGCAGCCACGCCGCGUGAGUGAAGAAGGCCUUCGGGUUGUAAAGCUCUGUCGGGAGGGACGAAAAUCCAUUGGGUUAACAGCCCAGUGGACUGACGGUACCUUCAAAGGAAGCACCGGCUAACUCUGUGCCAGCAGCCGCGGUAAUACAGAGGGUGCAAGCGUUGCUCGGAAUCAUUGGGCGUAAAGGGCAGGUAGGUGGUCUCGUUUGUCUGAGGUGAAAGCCUUGAGCUUAACUCAAGAAGUGCCUUAGAAACGGCGGGACUAGAAUCUUGGAGAGGGUCGUGGAAUUCCCGGUGUAGCGGUGAAAUGCGUAGAGAUCGGGAGGAACACCAGAGGCGAAGGCGGCGACCUGGACAAGUAUUGACACUCAACUGCGAAAGCGUGGGGAGCAAACAGGAUUAGAUACCCUGGUAGUCCACGCUGUAAACGAUGGGUACUAGGUUUGGUGGGUCUUGACCCCCGCCGAACCGGAGCUAACGCGAUAAGUACCCCGCCUGGGAAGUACGGUCGCAAGACUAAAACUCAAAGGAAUUGACGGA
Molecule: ribosomal RNA, 591 nt
Filed under: uncultured bacterium
Lineage: Bacteria
Description: bacterial SSU rRNA
Rfam family: Bacterial small subunit ribosomal RNA
Source: RNAcentral